GUGCGCAAUGACUGAUACUAGAGUCUGCUUGUGAAUAACUCCCCCUUAUUUUCUGUCCUUGCUCAGCCAUGCUGAAACAGUGCUCACAGAUGUGAGACCAGCAGCAGCGACAGAAAGGCUUUGUCAACAUCAGCAAAUCACUGUUUCUACCUCUGCAAGGUCAGCUUCUGAAGGCAACGUGUUCAAGACCACAGCUCCACAAUUGGCUGUUGCCCUCAGCUGUUGAGUUGUUCUGCAAAGCUGUAUUCAUACAGAACUUGAAUACCAUGUGCAAAAGAAGAAAAAAAAAAUGCAAAAGACUCAGAAAAAGGCAGCAAGAAUGAUCAAAGGUCUGAGGAAGACGUGACUGAACUGCUUGGAUUCUUCAGUUCAGAGAAUAAACGAGCAAGAGUAGUCCGAAAUGAUCAGAAGAUCCAUGGGAAUAGAAGCGUUCAGAAGGAAGAAGGGUGAAGUCUGUCUCAGAUAAGUCAUCUCCACAGCAGCGGGUAACAGGCUAUGCUGGUAAUUCCUGUGGGGAGUCCACCUGGGAUGCUGGCACUGGAACCUCUGCACUACCGCCCAUUCCCAGGCAGGAUUUCAUCCCUUUAAGAGGACUGUCCGAGUUCCUACCUCUAGUGUUGUAGUCUGCUUGAAAACUCAGACAUCAAUAAAACCAUUAAGGUUCCAGAAGAAGCUCUAAGAGGAAGUGCCAGAACUUUGUUAGGGAAAGAUUGCAGUCCCUGAGGAGGCCUGGCAAGAUAAUAAAGAUAGCAGUGUGCUCUGCAGAAGACUGAAAGGUGGAGGAAGCAGACAAGAUGGAAAAGUUAAUAGGAAGAAGGAAAAGUGUAAAAGAGUUCAUGAGAAAAUUUUCAUAUGCAGCACCUGGCCCGUUGCAGAUCCAAGUGCAGCCAUGGUACUGCUGUGAACGCUACUGAUCCUGAGUGAAGGAAUCCAUGCAGAACAUCGUGAACACAUUGCUAAAUCAUAUUUGCGAAACACCGCUUCCUGCUGAUACCCAAAUAUUAGUAUGGUUCUCUGUCUCCUUGAUUUAACCUGUAGCCUAGACAAGGCUCAUCAAGGAAAAUGACUGAAGUAAUUUCCAUCCUCCCUCUUCUAACAAUUUAACACUGUGUUGUAAUACUUGCAGGCUGCUUCCCACCAGAGAUGGAACUGGCUCCUGUGGCUUGGGAUGAAACCACAGGUGGCAGCUGUCUGUGCUGUAGGUCAGUGGUUAGCAUCAGCAGUUUUCUGUGGAAGAUCCCAUGGAUGUCUGUCUGGGUCCCCGAGAGUUCCACGGAAAGCCGAGGAGUGAAUCCAAGGUAAAGGAAGGUAACUUUGUGAUACAAAUGAAACCAACACAUUUUCACCUACAUUUUUGCUUUUCAUUAAAAUGGUUCCAACUGUGGAGGCACCAGCUAAGAAGAAUAUGAGCUUAGGUCCCUGUUGGAAGCAAUUGUAGUAAGGGGAGAUCAAUGCAAGACUUUUUACAUUCAAUACAGGGUACAAGUUAUGGACCUAAGCAGAUAAAGUAUCUAUAAACAUCACACCAGCGGAGGCAUGGUCAGGAGAUAACAAGGGAAAACCACACCAAAGUCCCUGUUCUUUGGCACUUACAAGCUUAAUUAAAGGGUAAUAUAAUCAAACUGGUAAUUAAUCAUAAACUUUUUAUCAUGGUAGACAUUCCCACCAAAGACUCCAAGGCCCAUUUUGCUAUCAAUCUAACUUCACUGAGUACACGCACUGAGUAUUUCCCUGCUCUGAAGUAGCUUUAUGGGCAUCUGCAGAAUCACACUCAGAUAAAAUCAUCCUGAGGAGAUAAUCCCAAGAUAAGAGGAUCCUUCCUUAAACCUAGCUACAUACAUAGACUCAAAUAAAUGGUUUUGAAUCCAUAUUCCUACUGGCCAAUAGGAAAUUUUACU
Molecule: long non-coding RNA, 1898 nt
Organism: Oxyura jamaicensis (ruddy duck)
Lineage: Eukaryota; Metazoa; Chordata; Aves; Anseriformes; Anatidae
Exons: 9
Source: RefSeq, a predicted model, not a curated record